UCUAGCAUGUGCGCGAGUCAUUGGGAUUUUAUCAUAUAAACCUAAAGGCGCAAUGAAAGUGAAGAUCGCGGUCGCCGUUAAAAGCGGCCCGAUCGAGGGAGGAUGACUCGCGAAAGGAAACGCUCGCGAGUUCGCACUCCCGGGGCGUCUCGCGCUCAUUGCGAGCGGAGGCGCACCCAGAGCGUACACGCUGGGACCCGAAAGAUGGUGAACUAUGCCUGGUCAGGACGAAGUCAGGGGAAACCCUGAUGGAGGUCCGUAGCGAUUCUGACGUGCAAAUCGAUCGUCGGAACUGGGUAUAGGGGCGAAAGACUAAUCGAACCAUC
This 326-nucleotide ribosomal RNA is filed under the name Anorasema pallidipes. Its description in RNAcentral is "partial 28S ribosomal RNA". It matches the Rfam family "Eukaryotic large subunit ribosomal RNA", at positions 674 to 944 of the family's 3401-position model. The record is from RNAcentral. Lineage: Eukaryota; Metazoa; Arthropoda; Insecta; Hymenoptera; Eucharitidae.